UUCUUCAAGAAAAUUUUUUAUGAAAGUUAAUUAAUUAGAAGGAACUCGGCAAAUUUAGUUGCUUCGCCUGUUUAUCAAAAACAUGGCUCUUUGCUUAUAUAAAUAUAAAGAGUCGGCCUGCCCAGUGAAUUUUUUUAACGGCCGCGGUACUCUGACCGUGCAAAGGUAGCAUAAUCAUUUGCCUUAUAAUUGAAGGCUAGUAUGAAUGGUUUAACGAAAGCAAUACUGUCUCCUUUUUAUUUUCAAGAACUUAACUUUUAGGUGAAGAGGCCUAAAUUUUAUUGAAGGACAAGAAGACCCUGUCGAGCUUAAAAGAUGCCAUAGAAGUCUGAUAUAUUUUAAAAUAAAUUUUCUAUUAAGCUUUUUAGUUGGGGCGACUAAGGAACAAAAAAAGCUUCUUCUUAACGAUAAACAAUCAUGUUUAGAUCCGAUAAUAAACGAUUAAAGGAAUUAGUUACCGCAGGGAUAACAGCAUAAUCUCUCUUAAGAGACCUAAUCGAAAGAAGGGGGUGGGACCUCCAUGGUGGACUAAAAUAUCCUGAAGAAGCAG
Molecule: ribosomal RNA, 550 nt
Filed under: Koreoleptoxis pacificans
Lineage: Eukaryota; Metazoa; Mollusca; Gastropoda; Pleuroceridae
Description: partial large subunit ribosomal RNA
Rfam family: Bacterial large subunit ribosomal RNA
Source: RNAcentral